Molecule: long non-coding RNA, 319 nt
Filed under: Lepisosteus oculatus (spotted gar)
Lineage: Eukaryota; Metazoa; Chordata; Actinopteri; Semionotiformes; Lepisosteidae
Description: lncRNA (ENSLOCG00000021300.1)
Source: RNAcentral
GACGUUAGGAUUUGUUUGUGCAACAUCCGAGAAGAGUACUUGUGGCUUGAAUGUGAACUGUACGUGCCUCCCCCUUUCCUCUGUAGUGCAUGAGUUCCUCCCAGCAUGCCCUUCGUCAUUGUUCUGUCAUCUUGUAUUUAAAGGGUUGUAUUUCUGCUGCUGAAAAUAAGCAACGAUUUUCUUUUAACUCCCCUUGUUUGCGGAGGAGACCUUAGCUGUCCCUCAUUAAAUUUAAUCUUCAAAUUGGUGGCAGGAGAAUUCAUUUAUACUCCUGUUGCAUCCUCAGGAAAAUAUUUUAAAAUUAAAACACAGAUUUGUU